This is a long non-coding RNA of Antechinus flavipes (yellow-footed antechinus), 575 nucleotides long. RefSeq lists it as uncharacterized. The record is from RefSeq and is a predicted model, not a curated record. Lineage: Eukaryota; Metazoa; Chordata; Mammalia; Dasyuromorphia; Dasyuridae. The transcript is spliced from 2 exons.
UCCUUCAGUAGAAAAUACUGUGUGAAUAGUUUCCUUGAGCUGCUAUUGGGAACCCUCCAUCCACACUGCUGCCCAUUCUGUGAAACUGUUCUCUUCUACAGGGAUAGGGGAGAAAUACUCUUUCUAGAAGCUGAAGACAAGUUUUCCAUUGGCUUUUCUGAAGAUCCUCUUAGAGAUACAUUCCUAGAUUAAAAAUCAUUGGACCACAACUAGGCAAAUCGUUCUGGGGACUGAUUCAAGAAGAAUCCAAACUAAGUUUAUCAUCAAACAAAGAUAUCUUCAAGGCCUUGAAAUGGAUAACUUUCAAGUACUUACUUUGAAUUAUGGUUCUGACCAAGCACUUCACACUCCUGUGGCCAUCAAGAUACCCUUAGACCUUUCAGAAACUGUUCCUAGACAUUGGUGUUUCUGCCAACUUUUCUUAAUUUAUCUAUUGCUGUUCAUCAUCUGGAUCCUGUGGCAACUUUAGUUCCUCUAAUGAUCAAUUACCAAUCAGAAAACUUGAUCAUGCCUAUCUAAACUAUGGAUUAUUUAUGACCAAUAUGAUUUAAAAGAAAUAAAGCCAGAUAGAAGCA